GACGAACGCUGGCGGCGUGCUUAACACAUGCAAGUCGAACGGAAAGGCCCUGCUUUUGUGGGGUGCUCGAGUGGCGAACGGGUGAGUAACACGUGAGUAACCUGCCCUUGACUUUGGGAUAACUUCAGGAAACUGGGGCUAAUACCGGAUAGGAGCUCCUGCUGCAUGGUGGGGGUUGGAAAGUUUCGGCGGUUGGGGAUGGACUCGCGGCUUAUCAGCUUGUUGGUGGGGUAGUGGCUUACCAAGGCUUUGACGGGUAGCCGGCCUGAGAGGGUGACCGGCCACAUUGGGACUGAGAGACGGCCCAGACGCGUACGGGAGGCAGCAGGGGGGAAUAUUGCACAGUGAGCGGGAGCCUGAGGCAGAAACGCCGCGUGCGGGAUGACGGCCUUCGGGUUGUAAACCGCUUUCGCCUGUGACGAAGCGGUAGUGACGGUAAUGGGUAAAGAAGCACCGGCUAACUACGUG
RNAcentral lists this ribosomal RNA (468 nucleotides) under uncultured bacterium. RNAcentral describes it as "partial 16S ribosomal RNA". It matches the Rfam family "Bacterial small subunit ribosomal RNA", at positions 28 to 507 of the family's 1533-position model. The record is from RNAcentral.